GGGGAAUAUUGGACAAUGGACGCAAGUCUGACCCAGCAACGCCGCGUGAAGGAAGAAGGCUUUCGGGUUGUAAACUUCUUUUAAGGGGGAAGAGUAGAAGACGGUACCCCUUGAAUAAGCCACGGCUAACUACGUGCCAGCAGCCGCGGUAAUACGAAGGGGGCUAGCGUUGCUCGGAAUCACUGGGCGUAAAGCGCACGUAGGCGGAUCGUUAAGUCAGGGGUGAAAUCCUGGGGCUCAACCUCAGAACUGCCCUUGAUACUGGCGAUCUCGAGUUCGAGAGAGGUUGGUGGAACUCCGAGUGUAGAGGUGAAAUUCGUAGAUAUUCGGAAGAACACCAGUGGCGAAGGCGGCCAACUGGCUCGAUACUGACGCUGAGGUGCGAAAGCGUGGGGAGCAAACA
This 403-nucleotide ribosomal RNA is filed under the name uncultured bacterium. Its description in RNAcentral is "bacterial SSU rRNA". It matches the Rfam family "Bacterial small subunit ribosomal RNA", at positions 356 to 774 of the family's 1533-position model. The record is from RNAcentral.